AAAAAGUAACAAAGUAAAUUUAAAAAAAAAAACCAAAAAACGUUCAUAACAAAACACUUUCUCUCUAUCUUUUUGCGCCUCCCUUUUUGCCUCAGCAAUAUUGUACAACGCCUCCAUCUCAGACCAAACCCUCUCUGCACCUCCCUCUUUGCCUCAUUGGUGCUUACAAACUCGAUCCUAAAUAUAAAACUCGGUGGCGAAAAACCCUAGCCUCAAAUCCUCUGCCUCACGCCUUCUCUCCUUGCCAUAGAAUUCUCACAUUCUGACUAAUGCCACUUCCAACUAGCUGGAAUCGUUGCAGAACCUGUGACGCCCUCAAAUCCGAGUACUUGAAACUCGAACUCGGUGCUUCACGAUACCAUUUUUUUGAGCGGAAUAAUAACAAUAAUAUAAAUAUCAAAUUUAAUUUACAUAUAUCAGAGUUGUCUAAAUCCCAAGUACGCGGCCUUUAAUACAUUACAAUACAUGAUAAUUAAUAAAUAUCAUUGUCUUAAUAAAGUCUAGCUAUUACAGAAGAUACCACAACUUAUUCAGUCAGCUUUCCUUUCCCUUUGUUCUUGGCAGAACCUUCAGGUUGAUCAUGCUUAGCGAAAAACAUUUAAAUUUAAAGCAAGAAUGAGCAUUUGAUUGCCCAGCAAAUAAUAACAACAAUAAUUAUUAGCUGAAAAGAUUAAAUGUUUUCUUUGAAUGACACUUGUGUCGGCGUGUUGCGAACUCUGCAGAGUCGAAGAAGAAGAACUAAGAAGUCGAAACUCGGAAGACCAGAGCACCGCCGGCUGCCCCCCCACCGUUCCCGAUCUGAAGGGUUUUACACUAUUGUACGUGCCUUAUUAUUUGAACCUCACAAAAUCCGAUAAAAUUGAAGGACUUUGAAAUAUAUAUCUAGAUCUGAUCAGGUCUUGUUAAAUGCACAGUGUAUAAUUGUUAAUGCACAUAAAAUUAUUCAAAAUACAAGAACAAAUGAUCUUAUAUUCUAAAACGGAGGUAAUAGCAAUGUCCAUGUUGGAAGAAACAACUUACUCAGCUAAAAUGCAACGCCCAUGCCAACCUUCUAUAUUUUGGUAACUAUAUAUAAUGGAAUAUAAUUAUUAAAAAAUAUAAAAAAUUAUUUUGGAAUUGGUACUUCAAGGCCAAAUAUUCACUUACAAAUUAAAUAUAAUAUUGCUCUACUAAUUAAAUUAAAACAACUAUUAGAGUUUUGGUGAUUUCUCAACCAAAUUAUGAGCAUGUAUGCAUCUGAGAAAUACAUCAAAUAUAUAGCUAAGAAAAGAGAUAGCUGUCUUACCGGCUUCCAUGGCAUUGCGAGCAGCAACCUCUAAAAUCAUUAAUUAAACAACUGAUACUAUUUAUUUUGCUCCGAAAUUAAUUAGACUUGCAUUUAAAUUUAAAAGAAUUUCUUCAUUCAUGUAAGAGAAGUAGUGUUUGUAAAAUGUUUGGUAUGCCAGGUAAGAAUAUAUAUUAGUACUUUUGAAUUGAGGAAGAAAAUAUGAACAAAUGAAACAUGAGGGGUAAAGUAAAAAUAAUCCAUUAUGAAUAAUUAAAUCUUACCGCAUGAAUAUAAAUUGCUUUCCCAGUCAAAAAUCAAUUUAUUUUGAUUAUACUCAGGAGAUACGUGGCCCGUAUGCCAAAG
This 1630-nucleotide long non-coding RNA is filed under the name Panax ginseng (ginseng). Its description in RNAcentral is "long non-coding RNA (PGIN_LNC008300)". The record is from RNAcentral. Lineage: Eukaryota; Viridiplantae; Streptophyta; Magnoliopsida; Apiales; Araliaceae.